Plasmodium billcollinsi is the source of this 272-nucleotide non-coding RNA. NCBI's taxonomy places the organism in Eukaryota, Apicomplexa, Aconoidasida, Haemosporida, Plasmodiidae. The record is from the annotation of a GenBank genome assembly.
UAUAUGCUGAUUUGUUUUUUUUUCAUCUAUUUUUUUUCUUCUCCUUUUUUUCUUCUUUUUCUUUUUUUUUUGUGAUACAUUUUUGUUUUGUUGUUCAUCCUAUAUCUCAUCAUUUUGUUCAUUUCAAAAAAAAACGUUAUUACUGUAAAUAUAUUAUAAAGUUAAAAGACUCCAAAUGUACACAUUUGCAUAAAUAACAUAUUGCAUAAAAAAAAAUAUUACAUAUAUAUAUAUAUAUAUAUAUAUAUAUAUUUAUUUAUUUUUAUUUUAUU